CCCAUAAAUGCCAUCUCCAGGAGAGGAGGUCCAACUACGUACAUCCUCACAAAGUUGCACCCGGGUCAGGAAAUGCCUGGCUGCACCGCAGCGAUUGCAGUCUCCGCAGUGACUGACGCCCAGAGUUCGCUCAUGAAGUGCGGGGAGACACGAAGGUCAAUCCAAGUUUCUGCAGCCUCUGUGGAGGGGAACAUGCCGGCUGACAGCCUCUACUAACAGGUUGGGGCUCCCUCCUGCUGCUCCUGCCCUCCCAGCCACCAGCUCAUUGGAGCAAGACCAGGUACUGACCAUGGGCAAUUACUCUGUUUUGAGGGGGCAUGGUGCAAAAUCUUUGCUCAUGCAGAGAAGCUGGAUCAAUCAUGAUCUCAUUAUUGGAUUUGAGUUGAGGUAUAAGUAGAACGUUCAACUGUUCACAGUGAAUUCACGGCUUAAAGAUGCAUGAAGGAGAGCCAUGAGGGAGAGUAAUUGCCUUGAAAAGUCAAAAAUAGGUCAGUUAACAUUAUUGGGAAGCAGGAUGUGUAAGAAAGGCUAUCAGGUUGAUAUAAAUACGUAGAAUAAAGAGUUAUGUUUUAGGGUAAAGACCGGAGAU
RNAcentral lists this long non-coding RNA (589 nucleotides) under Felis catus (domestic cat). RNAcentral describes it as "lncRNA (ENSFCAG00000051114.1)". The record is from RNAcentral. Lineage: Eukaryota; Metazoa; Chordata; Mammalia; Carnivora; Felidae.